Molecule: unclassified non-coding RNA, 251 nt
Filed under: plant metagenome
Description: partial contains small subunit ribosomal RNA, internal transcribed spacer 1, and 5.8S ribosomal RNA
Source: RNAcentral
UUUCCGUAGGUGAACCUGCGGAAGGAUCAUUAACGAGUUAGGGUCUUAGGCCCGACCUCCCAACCCUAUGUUUAUUGAACCUCUGUUGCUUCGGCGGACCCGUCUCACGGCCGCCGGAGGACCGCUGCGAGGCGUCCUCUGGCCAGCGUCCGCCGAUGGCCAACCCACUAAACUCUGAAUGAAUCGUGUCAUGUGUCUAAGUCUAUGAUUAAAUUAAAGCAAAACUUUCAACAACGGAUCUCUUGGUUCUG